Molecule: unclassified non-coding RNA, 3761 nt
Filed under: Limulus polyphemus (Atlantic horseshoe crab)
Lineage: Eukaryota; Metazoa; Arthropoda; Merostomata; Xiphosura; Limulidae
Description: exportin-7-like, transcript variant X1
Source: RNAcentral
GGGGAAAAUAAAAAUGGCGGAUGAACAGGAGCUGGCCCAGUUGGAGCUUCUGUGUAAGCAGCUGUAUGAAGCAACUGGAGCAACUCAAAGAAGUGAAGCUGAAAAGGCACUUCUGAACUUUGCAAACUCUCCUGACUGUUUGACAAAAUGUCAACUGCUGUUAGAAAGAGGAGAAUCAUCAUAUGCACAACUUCUAGCAGCCACAACACUGACCAAAAUGGUGUCCAGGACACCAUGUUCUCUUAAUCUUCAACAAAGGCUAGAGAUCAGAAAUUACAUUUUACGUUACUUAGCAACUCGACCAAAACUUACCAACUAUGUGACACAAGCAUUAGUGCAACUCUUUGCUAAAAUAAUCAAGUUAGGUUGGUUUGAAUCAGAUAAAGAAGAGUUUGUGUUUCGAAACAUUAUUAACCAAGUUCAGGGUUUUUUGCAGGGUUCAGUAGAAUAUUGUGUCAUUGGGGUCCAGCUUCUUUCUCAGCUGACAUGUGAAAUCAAUCAAAUAAGUGAGGCAGAGGCUAAUAGAUCUUUAACUAAACAGCGUAAAAUUGCUUCAUCUUUUCGAGAUAGUCAGCUUUAUGAAAUAUUCCAAUUAGCCUGUGAUCUGUUGAGACGAGCUUUGGAAACAUGGAAGUCAACGACAUUUAAGGAUGAGUCACAACAUGCACUGAUGAAUCAGCUGUUGCAGUUGGCUUUCAAUUGUCUUUCAUUUGACUUUAUUGGAACCUCACCUGAUGAAUCAUCAGAUGAUCUUUGUACAGUGCAAAUUCCAACCAGUUGGAGACCUGCUUUCCUGGAUUUUAACACACUACAGUUGUUCUUUGACCUGUACCAUUCCCUACCAACUCUCCUGUCACACAUAGCACUGUCUUGUUUGGUACAGAUUGCUUCAGUUCGAAGAUCAUUGUUCAACAAUGCCGAGAGAGCUAAGUUUCUAUCACAGCUUGUCAGUGGUGUCAAGAACAUUUUGGAAAAUCCUCAGGGCUUGUCAGAUCCUGGAAACUACCAUGAGUUUUGUAGGCUGUUGGCCAGACUGAAGUCAAACUAUCAACUGGGUGAACUAGUCAAGGCAGAAAACUACAGAGAAACUAUAGCCCUUAUUGCUACAUUUACUGUCACAAGUCUUCAGAUGUGGCAGUAUGCUCCAAAUAGUGUCCACUACUUGCUGAGCUUAUGGCAACGAAUGGUAGCUUCUGUUCCAUAUGUCAAGGCUUCUGAGCCACACCUGUUGGAGACAUACACACCUGAAGUCACUCAUGCUUACAUUACCUCUCGGUUGGAGUGUGUAACAGCUGUUGUAAGGGAUGGAUUGGAAGAUCCACUUGGUGAUACAGGGAUGAUACAGCAACAACUAGAUCAGCUAGCAACUAUAGGAAGAUGUGAAUAUGAAAAAACUUGUACACUUCUUGUCCAAACUUUUGAUCAAGCAGCACAGGCAUACCAAGAACGUAUGCAGGCCCAAACUCCGAACAAUAGGAUAGACAUAGAAAUCCAAGAAGGCCGUCUAACUUGGCUUGUAUACAUAAUUGGUGCAGCAAUAGGUGGACGGGUCUCUUUCAACAGUGCUGAUGAACAUGAUGCUAUGGAUGGAGAGCUUGUAUGCAGAGUUCUCCAGUUAAUGAACUUGACUGAUGCUAGACUAGCUCAUGGAGGAUGUGAGAAGCUAGAACUAGCCAUGCUCAGUUUCUUUGAACAGUUCAGGAAGAUCUAUGUAGGUGACCAGGUACAGAAAACAUCUAAAGUGUAUCGAAGGCUGUCUGAUGUAUUAGGCCUUAGUGAUGAAUCCAUGGUGUUAAGUGUCUUCAUCAGAAAAAUAAUUACCAAUUUGAAGUAUUGGAGCACUCAAGAACAGAUUAUAACAAAGACCUUACAGCUGUUGAAUGACCUGUCUGUAGGCUAUAGUAGCGUGAGGAAACUGGUUAAACUUGAGGAAGUUCAGUUCAUGUUAAGUAAUCACACUAGUGAACAUUUUCCUUUUUUGGGAAACAAUGCACAAAUAGCAGACAUGAGAUGUCGUUCGAUGUUUUACACAUCUAUGGGUCGCUUGCUAAUGGUAGACCUUGGAGAAGACGAAGAAAAGUUUGAACAUUUUAUGAUUCCAUUGACUGGUGCUUUUGAUGCUAUAGGAAAUUUAUUAGCAAAUACAGAAUCACCAGUUUUCAACACAACAGAAGCAAAAAAAGCUUUAGUUGGCUUAGCAAGGGACUUGAGAGGUUUGACAUUUGCUUUCAAUACCAAGACCAGUUACAUGAUGCUGUUUGAAUGGAUUUACCCAGCUUAUACACCUGUUCUUCAUCGAGCAAUAGAACUUUGGUAUCACGACCCUGCAGUUACCACUCCUGUCCUCAAAUUGAUGGCAGAAUUGGUUCAGAACAGAUCUCAGAGGCUUCAGUUUGAUGUAUCUUCUCCAAAUGGUAUCUUGCUUUUCAGGCAAACUAGUAAAAUUAUUUCCAGUUAUGGAAAUAGAAUACUAACAUUAGGUGAUAUUCCAAGGGACAAAAUUUAUCCAUUGAAAUUAAAAGGGAUUUCCAUCUGCUUCUCCAUGUUUAAAUCUGCUCUCUGUGGAGGUUAUGUCAACUUCGGAGUGUUCAGACUGUAUGGUGACAGUGCCUUGGAUGAUGCCCUAAAUGCUUUCAUUAAACUUCUUUUGUCUAUUUCACAGGGUGAUCUUUUGGACUACCCCAAAUUGAGUCAAACUUAUUAUGUACUUCUAGAAUGUUUAGCACAGGAUCAUAUGAACUUCCUUAGCAAUUUAGAACCUCAUGUUUUUUUGUAUAUAUUGUCAUCAAUAUCUGAGGGUCUUACAGCUUUAGAUACCAUGGUAUGUACAGGGUGUUGUGCAACUUUAGAUCACAUUGUUACUUACCUGUUUAAGCGGUUAUCUAAGACCAGUAAAAAGGUGCGUCACCCUUCUGGCCAACAAGAUGGGGAAGCCUGUUUACGAGUUUUAGAACAUCAUCCUGAGAUUCUGCAACAGAUGCUCUCUACUAUCUUGAAUAUUAUCAUGUUUGAAGAUUGUCGUAACCAGUGGUCUAUGUCCAGACCUCUGUUAGGCCUAAUCCUACUCAAUGAAGAGUACUUCCAUCAGUUAAGACAGAAUAUUGUCCAAACUCAACCACCAGAUAAACAAGCUGCCAUGGCUCAGUGGUUUGACAAUCUCAUGGAAGGAAUAGAAAGAAAUCUCUUAACAAAAAAUAGAGACAGAUUCACUCAAAAUCUGUCUGUAUUUCGUCGUGACAUCAAUGACUUUCUGAAGGGGCCAAAUAUAGUCAACGCAGCAAUGAGUGAUAUGAUGAGCUAACAUUAGUUGUGGACCAAAGCUUUUAAUGCUAUUGAAUGUAGACAUGCAAUUUUUUUUUUUUUUGUGAUGAAGAAAUUCUGUCGGGAAUUAUGUACAAGGAGGUUUACAGAUUUGGUGCAGUAGCUGCCAUGCCUGCUCAAGAGGUGGAUAAGUGUUUUGCCAGAGACAUUUGAUCACGAACCUAAAUUCCCAAGGGAAGCGUGCUGUUAAAAAAUGUAUAAUUAAUUUGUCACCUGUGGAUAAGAAUAGUGCAUGGCUGUAAUAAAAUGGAUGAAAUUUGAUUGAGGUGCAGUUUAUAAAGAUAAUAUUGCAAACUGUUAAAUUUUAGAAGUUUGAACUUGAAAUUUGAUAUAAUACAAUGUUUUUAGAAAAAAAAAAAAGACCAAAAUUUUGGUUUGAUUUGUUUGAUAUUUGGAGUUUUAAAAUUGGCACAACAUUAAAGUUAAUUCAGAAGUUUUUA